Molecule: ribosomal RNA, 442 nt
Filed under: uncultured bacterium
Lineage: Bacteria
Description: partial 16S ribosomal RNA
Rfam family: Bacterial small subunit ribosomal RNA
Source: RNAcentral
CCUACGGGUGACUGCAGUGGGGAAUAUUGGGCAAUGGGCGCAAGCCUGACCCAGCAAUGCCGCGUGAAGGAAGAAGGCUUUCGGGUUGUAAACUUCUUUGACAGGGGAAGAGCAGAAGACGGUACCCUGAAAACAAGCCACGGCUAACUACGUGCCAGCAGCCGCGGUAAUACGUAGGUGGCAAGCGUUGUCCGGAUUUACUGGGUGUAAAGGGCGUGUAGCCGGGAAGGCAAGUCAGAUGUGAAAUCUGGAGGCUCAACCUCCAAAUUGCAUUUGAAACUGUUUUGCUUGAGUACUGGAGAGGCAGACGGAAUUCCAGGUGUAGCGGUGAAAUGCGUAGAGAUAAGGAGGAACACCAGUGGCGAAGGCGGUCUGCUGGACGGCAACUGACGGUGAGGCGCGAAAGCGUGGGGAGCAAACAGGAUUAGAUACCCUAGUAGUC